GUUUUUGUUUUCGUCUAUAUUUAAUGUUUCAUGCAUGUGCCACAAGAUUCGAUGUGACGGGGAAUCUUGAAAAUUUUUUGGUUUUCAGGGUGAACUGGCCUUGUUUAGUUCACAAAAUUUUUGGUUUUCGGCUACUGUAGCACUUUCAUUUUUAUUUGACAAACAUUGUCCAAUCACGGAGUAACUAGGCUCAAAAGAUUCAUCUCACAAAUUACAGAUAAACUGUAUAAUUAGUUUUUAUUUUCGU
This 247-nucleotide long non-coding RNA is filed under the name Sorghum bicolor (sorghum). Its description in RNAcentral is "long non-coding RNA (SBIC_LNC009100)". The record is from RNAcentral. Lineage: Eukaryota; Viridiplantae; Streptophyta; Magnoliopsida; Poales; Poaceae.